AAAGAUUUUUCAUAGUUCCACCUCUCGGAAAAAAAUAUAUUCAUUUCGGUGAAAUCUAAGUGUUGAGCUUGCUCUUCACAAGACUAGAUUUCAUCCCUCAAAAGUU
This 106-nucleotide small RNA is filed under the name Arabidopsis thaliana (thale cress). Its description in RNAcentral is "ATSL088750". Lineage: Eukaryota; Viridiplantae; Streptophyta; Magnoliopsida; Brassicales; Brassicaceae. The record is from RNAcentral.